CGCCGCCACGGUAAUACGUAGGAGGCAAGCGUUGUCCGGAAUUAUUGGGCGUAAAGGGCUCGCAGGCGGUUUCUUAAGUCUGAUGUGAAAGCCCCCGGCUCAACCGGGGAGGGUCAUUGGAAACUGGGAAACUUGAGUGCAGAAGAGGAGAAUGGAAUUCCACGUGUAGCGGUGAAAUGCGUAGAGAUGUGGAGGAACACCAGUGGCGAAGGCGACUCUCUGGUCUGUAACUGACGCUGAGGAGCGAAAGCGUGGGGAGCGAACAGGAUUAGAUACCCCCGUAGUCCCUGUCUCUUAUACC
This 301-nucleotide ribosomal RNA is filed under the name uncultured bacterium. RNAcentral's name for it is "partial 16S ribosomal RNA". It matches the Rfam family "Bacterial small subunit ribosomal RNA", at positions 510 to 808 of the family's 1533-position model. The record is from RNAcentral.